GGACAACCUACCCUGAGGAGGGGGAUAACCCCGGAAAACUGGGGAUAAUACCCCAUAGACCAGGGAUGCUGGAAUGCUCUCUGGUUCAAAGGUCCGCCGCCUCAGGAUGGGUCUGCGGCCGAUUAGGUAGUUGUUGGGGUAACGGCCCAACAAGCCUUUGAUCGGUACGGGUUGUGGGAGCAAGAGCCCGGAGAUGGAUUCUGAGACACGAAUCCAGGCCCUACGGGGCGCAGCAGGCGCGAAAACUUUACAAUGCGAGAAAUCGUGAUAAGGGAACCCCGAGUGCCCGUAAAUUCGGGCUGUCCAUCAGUGUAAAUAACUGGUGAAGAAAGGGCCGGGCAAGACCGGUGCCAGCCGCCGCGGUAAUACCGGCGGCUCGAGUGGUGGCCACUAUUACUGGGCUUAAAGCGUCCGUAGCUUGGUUGUUAAGUCUCCUGGGAAAUCCAUCGGCUCAACCGAUGGGCGUUCAGGGGAUACUGGCAACCUAGGGACCGGGAGAGGUGAGAGGUACUCCAGGGGUAGGAGUGAAAUCCUGUAAUCCUUGGGGGACCACCUGUGGCGAAGGCGUCUCACUAGAACGGCUCCGACAGUGAGGGACGAAAGCUGGGGGAGCAAACCGGAUUAGAUACCCGGGUAGUCCCAGCCGUAAACGAUGCGCGUUAGGUGUAUCGGUGACCACGAGUCACCGAGGUGCCGAAGGGAAACCGUGAAACGUGCCGCCUGGGAAGUACGGUCGCAAGGCUGAAACUUAA
RNAcentral lists this ribosomal RNA (752 nucleotides) under uncultured archaeon. Its description in RNAcentral is "bacterial SSU rRNA". It matches the Rfam family "Archaeal small subunit ribosomal RNA", at positions 102 to 859 of the family's 1478-position model. The record is from RNAcentral.